Molecule: ribosomal RNA, 460 nt
Filed under: uncultured bacterium
Lineage: Bacteria
Description: partial 16S ribosomal RNA
Rfam family: Bacterial small subunit ribosomal RNA
Source: RNAcentral
CCUACGGGAGGCAGCAGUGAGGAAUAUUGGUCAAUGGGCGCGAGCCUGAACCAGCCAAGUAGCGUGAAGGAUGACUGCCCUACGGGUUGUAAACUUCUUUUAUAAAGGAAUAAAGUGAGCCACGUGUGCCUUUUUGUAUGUACUUUAUGAAUAAGGAUCGGCUAAAUCCGUGCCAGCAGCCGCGGUAAUACGGAGGAUCCGAGCGUUAUCCGGAUUUAUUGGGUUUAAAGGGAGCGUAGAUGGGUUUUUAAAGCAGUUGUGAAAGUUUGCGGCUCAACCGUAAAAUUGCCGUUGAUACUGGCAUUCUUGAGUACAGGUGAGGUAGGCGGAAUUCGUGGUGUAGCGGUGAAAUGCUUAGAUAUCACGAAGAACUCCGAUUGCGAAGGCAGCUUACUAAACUGCCACUGACAUUGAUGCUCGAAAGUGUGGGUAUCAAACAGGAUUAGAUACCCCUGUAGUC